RNAcentral lists this ribosomal RNA (497 nucleotides) under uncultured bacterium. Its description in RNAcentral is "partial 16S ribosomal RNA". It matches the Rfam family "Bacterial small subunit ribosomal RNA", at positions 28 to 507 of the family's 1533-position model. The record is from RNAcentral.
GAUGAACGCUGGCGGCGUGCCUAAUACAUGCAAGUCGAGCGAACAGACGAGGAGCUUGCUCCUCUGACGUUAGCGGCGGACGGGUGAGUAACACGUGGAUAACCUACCUAUAAGACUGGGAUAACUUCGGGAAACCGGAGCUAAUACCGGAUAACAUGUUGAACCGCAUGGUUCAACAGUGGAAGACGGUCUUGCUGUCACUUAUAGAUGGAUCCGCGCCGCAUUAGCUAGUUGGUAAGGUAACGGCUUACCAAGGCAACGAUGCGUAGCCGACCUGAGAGGGUGAUCGGCCACACUGUAACUGAGACACGGUCCAGACUCCUACGGGAGGCAGCAGUAGGGAAUCUUCCGCAAUGGGCGAAAGCCUGACGGAGCAACGCCGCGUGAGUGAAGAAGGUCUUCGGAUCGUAAAACUCUGUUAUUAGGGAAGAACAAAUGUGUAAGUAACUAUGCACGUCUUGACGGUACCUAAUCAGAAAGCCACGGCUAACUACGUG